Molecule: small nuclear RNA, 127 nt
Organism: Pogona vitticeps (central bearded dragon)
Lineage: Eukaryota; Metazoa; Chordata; Lepidosauria; Squamata; Agamidae
Source: Ensembl
GUUUUGUGUAAGAGGAGAAACGGUUAGCACUCUCGUUGAUAAGGAUGGAAGACUCGUUGUGAUUUGUACAACAAGUACAUGGUUAGGGCAUCAUCACCUCCUUCAUGGCAUCUAACCAUAAUUUUGU